ACGGGAGGCAGCAGUGGGGAAUAUUGCGCAAUGGGGGCAACCCUGACGCAGCCAUGCCGCGUGAAUGAAGAAGGCCUUCGGGUUGUAAAGUUCUUUCGGUGAUGAGGAAGGUGGAUGUUUUAAUAGAGCAUACAAUUGACGUUAGUCACAGAAGAAGCACCGGCUAACUCCGUGCCAGCAGCCGCGGUAAUACGGAGGGUGCGAGCGUUAAUCGGAAUAACUGGGCGUAAAGGGCACGCAGGCGGACUUUUAAGUGAGGUGUGAAAUCCCCGGGCUUAACCUGGGAAUUGCAUUUCAGACUGGGGGUCUAGAGUACUUUAGGGAGGGGUAGAAUUCCACGUGUAGCGGUGAAAUGCGUAGAGAUGUGGAGGAAUACCGAAGGCGAAGGCAGCCCCUUGGGGAUGUACUGACGCUCAUGUGCGAAAGCGUGGGGAGCAAACAGGAUUAGAUACCCUGGUA
Molecule: ribosomal RNA, 459 nt
Filed under: uncultured Actinobacillus sp.
Lineage: Bacteria; Pseudomonadati; Pseudomonadota; Gammaproteobacteria; Pasteurellales; Pasteurellaceae
Description: partial 16S ribosomal RNA
Rfam family: Bacterial small subunit ribosomal RNA
Source: RNAcentral